GUGCCAGCAGCCGCGGUAAUACGUAGGGUGCGAGCGUUGUCCGGAAUUACUGGGCGUAAAGGGCUCGUAGGUGGUGUGUCGCGUCGUCUGUGAAAUUCCGGGGCUUAACUCCGGGCGUGCAGGCGAUACGGGCAUGCUUGAGUGCUGUAGGGGUAGCUGGAAUGCCUGGUGUAGCGGUGAAAUGCGCAGAUAUCAGGCAGAACGCCGAUGGCGAAGGCAGGUUACUGGGCAGUUACUGACGCUGAGGAGCGAAAGCAUGGGUAGCGAACAGGAUUAGAUACCCUGGUAGUCCAUGCCGUAAACGGUGGGCGCUAGGUGUGAGUCCCUUCCACGGGGUUCGUGCCGUAGCUAACGCAUUAAGCGCCCCGCCUGGGGAGUACGGCCGCAAGGCUAAAACUCAAAGGAAUUGACGGGGGCCCGCACAAGCGGCGGAGCAUGUGGAUUAAUUCGAUGCAACGCGAAGAACCUUACCUGGGCUUGACAUACACCAGAUCGCCGUAGAGAUACGGUUUCCCUUUGUGGUUGGUGUACAGGUGGUGCAUGGUUGUCGUCAGCUCGUGUCGUGAGAUGUUGGGUUAAGUCCCGCAACGAGCGCAACCCUUGUCUUAUGUUGCCAGCAAUUUGGUUGGGGACUCGUGAGAGACUGCCGGGGUUAACUCGGAGGAAGGUGGGGAUGACGUCAAAUCAUCAUGCCCCUUAUGUCCAGGGCUUCACACAUGCUACAAUGGUCGGUACAACGCGUUUGCGAGCCUGUGAGGGUGAGCUAAUCGCUGAAAGCCGGUCGUAGUUCGGAUUGGGGUCUGCAACUCGACCCCAUGAAGUCGGAGUCGCUAGUAAUCGCAGAUCAGCAACGCUGCGGUGAAUACGUUCCCGGGCCUUGUACACACCGCCCGUCACGUCAUGAAAGUUGGUAACACCCGAAGCCAGUGGCCUGUUAAAGGGAGCUGUCGAAGGUGGGAUCGGCGAUUGGGACGAAGUCGUAACAAGGUA
This 990-nucleotide ribosomal RNA is filed under the name uncultured Corynebacterium sp. Its description in RNAcentral is "bacterial SSU rRNA". It matches the Rfam family "Bacterial small subunit ribosomal RNA", at positions 505 to 1498 of the family's 1533-position model. Lineage: Bacteria; Bacillati; Actinomycetota; Actinomycetes; Mycobacteriales; Corynebacteriaceae. The record is from RNAcentral.